ACUGAGGAAACUGUAUUUCCUGUCAGAGAUGCUCAGUGAUCCUCAGAGCAGAGAGAGGUAUUGCUGUCUUCUGAGUUCUUCACUGUCCCAACUGAAACAUUCAAACCUCAUUGCAGAGCUCAUGUCUUUCCUCACCAUCAUGUGAGUGUGAGAUUGCUCUGGAUUCUGGUUAUGUGGCCUGCAGCACCUAUAAGAACAAGCUCGUACAGUGUGCCUGCAUUCCAGCUUCUUAGACUCUACGCAAGUGGACAGAGUAUCAGUGCUUGGCCACCCUUACAGACACCGACUUCUGUCAACUCACUGCUACUGAUCAGGCACCUCACUCCAGGAAGACAGAGGGCUGCAAGCCUGUUAUCGUUUCCAGUGUGGCUUUGUAUUCUUGGGGUAGCAUCAGAUUUUUCCCACAAAUAUUCAAAGGUAACACUUAUUUUAAGCUUAGUUAUUAAAUCAAAAGUCUUCCCUUGUGUUAAUUGUUUUAUUUUUUAUUUUUAUUUUUUCUUUUACAUUUAUAUGCAGUUAUCAGAUGUGGUGGAGCUUUGUUAACUGUGUGGAAAACAUCUGUUUGUGAUGAUAUUUACAAUGAGGUUUUAAGGUGACAGUUUCCAAGUGAUUUCAAUCAUUUGACUAAGCAAAAACAUGUUUGCAAUUAACAUAUUUUUUUCAGUUUGUCUUUUGGAUUUAACAUCCUCUGUGACAGGAAAUACUAAACUGGUCCAAGUAACCAGCAUAUCAUUGGUCAAAGACAAAAAAGGACCACAUGUCACGCUAGCAAUGAAUUUUUGACUGUGUUUGUGUCACCAGAUUUAACAAACAAUAUCAGACAUAUGAAACUGAACUCUGGAUAAUGUCUAGA
Molecule: long non-coding RNA, 853 nt
Organism: Oreochromis niloticus (Nile tilapia)
Lineage: Eukaryota; Metazoa; Chordata; Actinopteri; Cichliformes; Cichlidae
Exons: 3
Source: RefSeq, a predicted model, not a curated record